GACGAACGCUGGCGGCGUGCCUAAUACAUGCCAGUUGAGCGAUGAAGCUUGGUGCUUGCACCAAUUUGAAGAGCAGCGAACGGGUGAGUAACGCGUGGGGAAUCUGCCUUUGAGCGGGGGACAACAUUUGGAAACGAAUGCUAAUACCGCAUAACAACUUUAAACAUAAGUUUUAAGUUUGAAAGAUGCAAUUGCAUCACUCAAAGAUGAUCCCGCGUUGUAUUAGCUAGUUGGUGAGGUAAAGGCUCACCAAGGCGAUGAUACAUAGCCGACCUGAGAGGGUGAUCGGCCACAUUGGGACUGAGACACGGCCCAAACCCCUACGGGAGGCAGCAGUAGGGAAUCUUCGGCAAUGGACGAAAGUCUGACCGAGCAACGCCGCGUGAGUGAAGAAGGUUUUCGGAUCGUAAAACUCUGUUGGUAGAGAAGAACGUUGGUGAGAGUGGAAAGCUCAUCAAGUGACGGUAACUACCCAGAAAGGGACGGCUAACUACGUG
RNAcentral lists this ribosomal RNA (497 nucleotides) under uncultured bacterium. Its description in RNAcentral is "partial 16S ribosomal RNA". It matches the Rfam family "Bacterial small subunit ribosomal RNA", at positions 28 to 507 of the family's 1533-position model. The record is from RNAcentral.